RNAcentral lists this ribosomal RNA (232 nucleotides) under Fidelibacterota bacterium. RNAcentral's name for it is "partial 23S ribosomal RNA". It matches the Rfam family "Bacterial large subunit ribosomal RNA", at positions 2702 to 2925 of the family's 2925-position model. The record is from RNAcentral. Lineage: Bacteria; Pseudomonadati; Fidelibacterota.
CGAACCUCUGGUGCACCAGUUGUCUCAUCAGAGGCAUCGCUGGGUAGCUAUGUUUGGUCAGGAUAAACGCUGAAAGCAUAUAAGCGUGAAACCUAUCCCAAGAUUAGAUCUCCCUCCCGAUUUAUCGGGAUAAGGCUCGUUGAAGACUACGACGUUGAUAGGCCACAGGUGUAAGUACAGUAAUGUAUUCAGCCGAGUGGUACUAAUAAGCCGAACGGCUUUAUCAAUUAUU